UACGUAGGGGGCGAGCGUUGUCCGGAGUUACUGGGCGUAAAGCGCACGCAGGCGGUCUGCUAAGUUUGGAGUGACAGUGCUCGGCUUAACUGAGCAAGUGCUUCGAAAACUGACAGACUUGAGGGCUUCAGAGGGACAUGGAAUUCCGGGUGUAGUGGUGAAAUGCGUAGAUAUCCGGAGGAACACCAAAGGCGAAGGCAGUGUCCUGGGAAGUACCUGACGCUCAGGUGCGAAAGCUAGGGGAGCGAACGGGAUUAGAUACCCCGGUAGUCCUAGCCGUAAACGAUGACCACUAGAUGUAGGAGGUAUCGACCCCUUCUGUGUCGAAGCUAACGUGAUAAGUGGUCCGCCUGGGGAGUACGGUCGCAAGAUUAAA
This 376-nucleotide ribosomal RNA is filed under the name uncultured bacterium. RNAcentral's name for it is "bacterial SSU rRNA". It matches the Rfam family "Bacterial small subunit ribosomal RNA", at positions 524 to 898 of the family's 1533-position model. The record is from RNAcentral.